Molecule: non-coding RNA, 163 nt
Organism: Clostridium pasteurianum BC1
Lineage: Bacteria; Bacillati; Bacillota; Clostridia; Eubacteriales; Clostridiaceae
Source: Rfam
UCCAUGGGUGACGUGGAAUCUGAAGGAAGUUGGUGGCAAAGCUCUGGUCUGACGAACAGAAACUACAUAUAAGGCAUAUUGUAGAUUUGUAAUUUAAAAUCUCUUCAAAAAUAAAGUUUAUUUCAAAUUUAUUUAACCGAUAAAAAGAAAAAUGGAUAAAAGA